RNAcentral lists this ribosomal RNA (406 nucleotides) under uncultured bacterium. Its description in RNAcentral is "partial 16S ribosomal RNA". It matches the Rfam family "Bacterial small subunit ribosomal RNA", at positions 30 to 526 of the family's 1533-position model. The record is from RNAcentral.
AUUGAACGCUGGCGGCAGGCCUAACACAUGCAAGUCGAACGAGUGGCGGACGGGUGAGUAAUGUAUGGGAAACUGCCUGAUGGAGGGGGAUAACCACUGGAAACGGUAGCUAAUACCGCAUACCAUCGGAUGUGCCCAGAUGGGCUUAGCUAGUAGGUGGGGUAAAGGCUCACCUAGGCGACGAUACCGAGCUGGUCUGAGAGGAUGACCAGCCACACUGGAACUGUGACACGGUCGAGACUCCUAAGGGAGGCAGCAUUGGGGAAGAUUGCACAAUGGGCGCAAGCCUGAUGCAGCCAUGCCGCGUGUAUGAAGAAGGCCUUCGGGUUGUAAAGUACUUUCAGCGGGGAGGCGGUACCCGCAGAAGAAGCACCGGCUAACUCCGUGCCAGCAGCCGCGGUAAUUC